Molecule: long non-coding RNA, 2173 nt
Filed under: Mus musculus (house mouse)
Lineage: Eukaryota; Metazoa; Chordata; Mammalia; Rodentia; Muridae
Description: long non-coding RNA chr15:82032891-82035064
Source: RNAcentral
UUCUUUUUGUUUUUUGUUUUUUUUUUUGUUUGUUUUGAAGGCUAAUCUUCUAAUAUACUUAAAUAUAUACCAUACUAUAUUCUUAAUAUAUAUUUAUAUAACAUAUAUAAUAUGCUAUUUUGUUUAAUUAAGUGGAAGGUUUCUAUGUUUUGGCUGUUAUAAGGAGGGUUCUAAUGAAAUGGUGGUGUUAAUAUACUGUUGUUAUCCUAAGUUCAAUUUUUGGAUAGUUCUAUUAUUUUUUAAGAUUUAUUUAUUGUUAUAUGUAAGUACACUGUAGUAGCUGUCUUCAGACACACCAGAAGAGGGUGUCAGAUCCCAUUACAGAUGGUUGUGAGCCACCAUGUGAUUGCGGGAUUUGAACUCAGGACCUUCAGAAGAGCAGUCACUGCUCUUAACCGCUGAGCCAUCUCUCCAGCCCCAGAUAGUUCUAUUUUUAUUUAAAAGACAUAUCUUUAUUAUUUAUUUUGUGUUUGACCAAUUCAUGGUUAGAGAAGAACCUAAAGGAGUUUGCUCUCUCCUUCUGUCACGUGGGUUCUGGGGAUUGAACUCAGGUACUCAGGCUUGGUAGCAAGUCCCUUUGUCUUACCAGCUCCUUAUUUGAAAGGUUUUACAAUUUUAUGUAUUAUCUGUGUGUGUGUAAGUAAUGUGUAUACAACUCUCAGGAAUUGGUUGUCUUCCACUGUGGGUUCUGAGAUCAAACUCGAGUUGUCAGCCGGGCAGCAGCAAGCCCUGGAAGCAAGUGCUUCCACCUGCUGAGCCACCUCACUGGUGGCAGCUUUACUAUUUGAGGACCCUCCAUACAGUUUUCCAUGGUUCCUUACCUGUUUUGCAUCUUCACCAAAAGGUUUCCAGUUUCUCCCCAUGCUGGCCACGCUCCUUGUCUUCAUUUUUGUUUUUAGAGACAAUAUUUAUUACUCAUUGUGGUGGGCCAUGCCAAUAGCUCCCGGCUCGGAAGGUGGAGGCAGGAGCAUUAGCAGUUGGAGGUCAUCCUUGAUUAUAGUGAGUUCAGGGCUUGGUUUGGGAUACAUGACAUCAUUUCCAGGUGGGAGGACAGACAGAGGGAGGAAGGACAGACACUGACUCAGUGUGUAGUCCUGCUUGUCCUCAUACUGGUCUGCUUACUACUGACUGUCUCCUGAGCGCUGGUCUAGAAUUUGCUGUGUAGCCUAGGAUGAACCUGAACUACUGAUCUUGCCCUAACCUCUCCAUGCUGGGAUUCCAAGCAAGUGCCACCAUGCCAGGUUUAUUUGGUGUCAGGAGUUGAAUCCAGGGCUUCGAGGCUGCUAGUCACUCUGAGACGUGAGGUGAUAGCUCAUCGUGGUUUCAUUUAUAUUUCCCUAAUGAUAGCUAAUGACAGUUGAACAACUCAUAUGUCUUGGCCAUUUGUAUAUCUUCUCAGGACACAUGGCGUGGCUUUUUGGUUUUUGUUUUGUUAACUUUCUAAGACAUGGUCUUGCUCUCUAGCCCAGAGUUGCUUGGGUGCUGGAAUUAGCAGCUUGCAUCACCACGCUUCAGUUGUAGACUGUUUUAAAGUCAAUUUUAAAAAGUCAGAUUUUUUUCUUUAUUUUCUCAUCAAGUUAGAGCCCUUUUCACAUUCCAUCUUUGCUAUCUGUUACUUCUAGUUCUGGGCAAAUGAUCCUUUUCAUUGGGUGUGGCAUCCACCUGUAAUCCCUGCAUGGUGAGCAGUGGAGGGACCAGGAAUUCAGGGUCAUCCGUGGCUACACAAUAAGCUUGACGCCAGCUUGAAUGUAUGAAACCCUGUCUCCUCCCAACCCCCGCCACCCAAAGAAAAAAGAAAGGCUUUCCCCUUCAGCUCUAACUUCCUGCUCUACUCCUUCCCCUGAAAGUAUGAGCGCUAAGACUCUACCAUGGAGGGCUGGAGAUGUACCUUCCUAGCAUGUACAAGCUCUGGGUUUGAUCUCAGGUGCAUGUCUCACAAACAUACACACCACCAACAAAAAACAUUCCGUGUGUUAGACACUGUUCCGCAUGCAAUACUGUUGUGGGAAAUAUUUAAAAAUAAACCUGCCUACUCUCCUCUACACACAGCCACACCGCAGUCCCGUCCUUUCAUCCUCCUAAGAAAUUGAAAAGGGGGCUGAGAGGUCUAAUAGUUGCACCUAUGUCAGGACACCUCUGACCUCUGCAGGCAUGGUGCACACAGACACACUUU